UAUUGCAGUACAAAACACGAUACUUUGUUUUAAGUCAUGGAUUAAUCCAUUUAUGAAAGACAAAACAUAAAAGUGAAUGUACAACUAAAAUCGAAGAAUAUAUUUACAGACAGACAGAUUGCUUUGUUUUGCAUGAAAAAAAACACAGUCAAAGAGCAGUUAAGAUUUCAACAAUAUAUCAUGGCAUCAUGUUGAACCCGCAAAAAACUCGUGAGUGUUGUCCAUUCUGUGCCCAAGUGACGGGCUGAAUGUCAGUGAUAUUUUUGGUAUAUUGACAGUCAAAUGUUGACAUGAAUGAAAGCAACAAAGGCAAUCCCACUGAACAGUCAUUGGUAAAUUAAUACGUUUCGUUCCUUUAGGGUGUGUCAUAUCACAGUCUUUGCCCUCAAGUAUCCAUCAAAAGCAGCCGACCCUGUCUCCAAUGAAUCUCUCUGUUCGAACGGGGCACCCCUUUUGUCUCGAGGCUGACGGAAAUCAAUUGUGCAGAUGUACAGUUGCAUUGGAUUAACCUGCAAACCAGACUCUAUCUUGAUGUAUGAAGGCUGGAUGUUUUUCCUGUCACCUGCGGAGAGUGAAGGAAGAGAUGACCGACCGGAGAAUUGGCCCCUGGGAGAGCAGCGGGACAUCCUGGUGCUAUUAGGCUCGUGGCUAAUAAUAGGUGUUUCAGUCCAGGGAGGAGAUCAAUCAGUGGGAAUCAUGGGGAAUGUUCGGCGCAGCGCUUUUACACAUCAGCCCAGAUGGAUGAAAUUACACUUGUCUGUUUUUAGUUGCAUUACUCCCAAAUUGGUUGUCUACUUUUUUUCUCCCUCUCCCUCACUCUUUCAGUAUUUGCCUCUCCGUCCUUUCUCUCUCCCCUCAUUCAUGUGUCACUGGCCUACUAAAAGGAUUUGGGUGCUUAGCCGCACUCGAUUCUCUGUCACUUGCAUAUGGACUCAGAUAGGAUGACGUGAGGUCUUGUCUUGGGUUGUUCUGGUUCCAAAGAUUGGGCUGGGUUAUGUGAAUUUUGUUCUUUGUAAAAAUGUCAAUUUUAAAUUGUAAAAAAUCUUUAUUUCAGUACACAUUUGAAUGUAACAUUGCAUCUAUUCUACCACCUAUAGGAGGACUAAAACAAGGUGCUUUCUAGGAAUAAUAUCACAGCUCCUGAAAUACAUUGAAUGUAAUGUCAGUAUUUCAAUCUGAUUGUAUCAAAUCUAAAUAAAGAGUUGUGAAAAUAA
Long non-coding RNA from Oncorhynchus tshawytscha (Chinook salmon), 1214 nucleotides. RefSeq lists it as uncharacterized. The transcript has 3 exons. The record is from RefSeq and is a predicted model, not a curated record. NCBI's taxonomy places the organism in Eukaryota, Metazoa, Chordata, Actinopteri, Salmoniformes, Salmonidae.